This is a non-coding RNA of Dracunculus medinensis (Guinea worm), 121 nucleotides long. Lineage: Eukaryota; Metazoa; Nematoda; Chromadorea; Rhabditida; Dracunculidae. The record is from Rfam.
AUGCACUUGUUCCUCUGCAUUUAGCCGUGUAAAUCUUUCGCCUUUUACUAAAGAUUUCCGUGCAUAGGAGCAAUUUAUGUUGCUAGCUAUUUUUUGGAUACCCUUCCUUCGGGUGGGGGAU